Molecule: ribosomal RNA, 1010 nt
Filed under: Bacillus altitudinis
Lineage: Bacteria; Bacillati; Bacillota; Bacilli; Caryophanales; Bacillaceae
Description: bacterial SSU rRNA
Rfam family: Bacterial small subunit ribosomal RNA
Source: RNAcentral
GCGGCGUGCCUAAUACAUGCAAGUCGAGCGGACAGAAGGGAACUUGCUUCCGGAUCUAGCGGCGGACGGGUGAGUAACACGUGGGUAACCUGCCUGUAAGACUGGGAUAACUCCGGGAAACCGGAGCUAAUACCGGAUAGUUCCUUGAACCGCAUGGUUCAAGGAUGAAAGACGGUUUCGGCUGUCACUUACAGAUGGACCCGCGGCGCAUAGCUAGUUGGUGAGGUAACGGCUCACCAAGGCGACGAUGCGUAGCCGACCUGAGAGGGUGAUCGGCCACACUGGGACUGAGACACGGCCCAGACUCCUACGGGAGGCAGCAGUAGGGAAUCUUCCGCAAUGGACGAAAGUCUGACGGAGCAACGCCGCGUGAGUGAUGAAGGUUUUCGGAUCGUAAAGCUCUGUUGUUAGGGAAGAACAAGUGCAAGAGUAACUGCUUGCACCUUGACGGUACCUAACCAGAAAGCCACGGCUAACUACGUGCCAGCAGCCGCGGUAAUACGUAGGUGGCAAGCGUUGUCCGGAAUUAUUGGGCGUAAAGGGCUCGCAGGCGGUUUCUUAAGUCUGAUGUGAAAGCCCCCGGCUCAACCGGGGAGGGUCAUUGGAAACUGGGAAACUUGAGUGCAGAAGAGGAGAGUGGAAUUCCACGUGUAGCGGUGAAAUGCGUAGAGAUGUGGAGGAACACCAGUGGCGAAGGCGACUCUCUGGUCUGUAACUGACGCUGAGGAGCGAAAGCGUGGGGAGCGAACAGGAUUAGAUACCCUGGUAGUCCACGCCGUAAACGAUGAGUGCUAAGUGUUAGGGGGUUUCCGCCCCUUAGUGCUGCAGCUAACGCAUUAAGCACUCCGCCUGGGGAGUACGGUCGCAAGACUGAAACUCAAAGGAAUUGACGGGGGCCCGCACAAGCGGUGGAGCAUGUGGUUUAAUUCGAAGCAACGCGAAGAACCUUACCAGGUCUUGACAUCCUCUGACAACCCUAGAGAUAGGGCUUUCCCUUCGGGGACAGAGUG